RNAcentral lists this ribosomal RNA (373 nucleotides) under uncultured eukaryote. RNAcentral describes it as "partial 18S ribosomal RNA". It matches the Rfam family "Eukaryotic small subunit ribosomal RNA", at positions 592 to 976 of the family's 1831-position model. The record is from RNAcentral.
CAAUAGCGUAUAUUAAAGUUGUUGCAGUUAAAAAGCUCGUAGUUGAAUUUUUGCUUGCCGCCGAUGUCGGAACUUCCGUACGUUCGGCGGCGUGCAUCCUUGGGUGGAACCUGUGUGGCAUUAGGUUGUCGUGCAGGGGAUGCUCAUCGUUUACUGUGAAAAAAUUAGAGUGUUCAAAGCAGGCUUACGCCGUUGAAUAUAUUAGCAUGGAAUAAUAAGAUAGGACCUUGGUACUAUUUUGUUGGUUUGCGCACCGUGGUAAUGAUUAACAGGGACAGUUGGGGGUAUUCGUAUUCCAUUGUCAGAGGUGAAAUUCUUGGAUUUCUGGAAGACGAACUACUGCGAAAGCAUUUACCAAGGAUGUUUUCAUUAA